GAUGAACGCUGGCGGCGUGCCUAAUACAUGCAAGUCGAGCGAACAGACGAGGAGCUUGCUCCUCUGACGUUAGCUGCUGACGGGUGAGUAACACGUGGAUAACCUACCUAUAAGACUCGGAUAACUUCGGGAAACCGGGGCUAAUACCGGAGAAUAUAUUGAACCGCAUGGUUCCAUAGUUAAAUACGGUUUUGCUGACACUUAUAGAUGGAUCCGCGCCGCAUUAGCUAGUUGGUAAGGUAACGGCUUACCCAGGCAACGAUGCGUAGCCGACCUGAAAGGGGGAGAGGACAAACUGGAACUGAGACACGGUCCAGCAUCCUACGGGAGGCAGCAGUAGCGAAUCCUCCGGAAAGGGAGAAAGCUUGACGGAGGAACGCUGCGUGAGAGAUGAAGGUCUUCGGAUCGUAAAACUCUGUUAUUAGGGAAGAACGAAUGUGUAAGUAACUAGGCACGUCUUGAAGGGACCUAAUCAGAGAGCCACGGCUAACUUCGUG
RNAcentral lists this ribosomal RNA (497 nucleotides) under uncultured bacterium. RNAcentral describes it as "partial 16S ribosomal RNA". It matches the Rfam family "Bacterial small subunit ribosomal RNA", at positions 28 to 507 of the family's 1533-position model. The record is from RNAcentral.